AUCCAGGUUUGGCCGGGUUAGGCCGUCAUUGUAAAUAAGAAUUUGUUCUUAACUGACUUGCCUAGUUAAAUAAAGGUUAAAUAAAUAAAAAACCUAAUCCUAACUUUUUAAAUGUAUUUUUAUGGUUAUAGUAACACUAUUUACCUGCUGUGUUCCUGUGUGUCUGUCUACUAGGUACCCAUAACGUUAGGUGAUGUGUGUCUGUCUACUAGGUGCCCAUAACGUUAGGUGAUGUGUGUCUGUCUACUAGGUGCCCAUAACGUUAGGUGAUGUGUGUUCCUGUGUGUCUGUCUACUAGGUACCCAUAACGUUAGGUGAUGUGUGUUCCUGUGUGUCUGUCUACUAGGUGCCCAUAACGUUAGGUGAUGUGUGUUCCUGUGUGUCUGUCUACUAGGUACCCAUAACGUUAGGUGAUGUGUGUUCCUGUGUGUCUGUCUACUAGGUACCCAUAACGUUAGGUGAUGUGUGUUCCUGUGUGUCUGUCUACUAGGUACCCAUAACGUUAGGUGAUGUGUGUUCCUGUGUGUCUGUCUACUAGGUACCCAUAACGUUAGGUGAUGUGUGUUCCUGUGUGUCUGUCUACUAGGUACCCAUAACGUUAGGUGAUGUGUGUCUGUCUACUAGGUGCCCAUAACGUUAGGUGAUGUGUGUCUGUCUACUAGGUGCCCAUAACGUUAGGUGAUGUGUGUUCCUGUGUGUCUGUCUACUAGGUACCCAUAACGUUAGGUGAUGUGUGUCUGUCUACUAGGUGCCCAUAACGUUAGGUGAUGUGUGUCUGUCUACUAGGUGCCCAUAUCGUUCGGUGAUGUGUGUCUGUCUACUAGGUGCCCAUAACGUUAGGUGAUGUGUGUUCCUGUGUGUCUGUCUACUAGGUACCCAUAACGUUAGGUGAUGUGUGUCUGUCUACUAGGUGCCCAUAACGUUAGGUGAUGUGUGUCUGUCUACUAGGUGCCCAUAACGUUAGGUGAUG
Molecule: non-coding RNA, 970 nt
Organism: Oncorhynchus mykiss (rainbow trout)
Lineage: Eukaryota; Metazoa; Chordata; Actinopteri; Salmoniformes; Salmonidae
Source: RefSeq, a predicted model, not a curated record